ACUGUUCAAGACCUCUCCCCUUCACUUCACUCUAACUGACACUUACUAGCAGUUCCCACUCACUACCAGUCAGUUGACUCACUGUACAAGACCUCUCCCCUUCAGUCUACUGCAGGGUGGGAGAUGCAACAAUGGCCU
Long non-coding RNA from Salvelinus sp. IW2-2015, 138 nucleotides. RefSeq lists it as uncharacterized. The record is from RefSeq and is a predicted model, not a curated record. NCBI's taxonomy places the organism in Eukaryota, Metazoa, Chordata, Actinopteri, Salmoniformes, Salmonidae.